Pundamilia nyererei is the source of this 186-nucleotide long non-coding RNA. RefSeq lists it as uncharacterized. NCBI's taxonomy places the organism in Eukaryota, Metazoa, Chordata, Actinopteri, Cichliformes, Cichlidae. The record is from RefSeq and is a predicted model, not a curated record. The transcript is spliced from 3 exons.
GCAAAAAGCUCCUCGCUCCUCACAGGCUGAAUCAUUUCCUUCACAUUCACAGACGUGACAGUCCUUUCAAUCACGAUGAGGAGCUCUGUGGUGUUUUGCCUAGCUGUCAGCUUUGCCAUGUUUGGAUUUGGCCUCUCGCUGCAGUGUUACUCUUGCCCGGGCGGGUCUUCCCAGAACUGUGCAGUC